CUAAUACAUGCAAGUAGAACGCUGAAGGGGGAGCUUGCUUCUCCNGGAUGAGUUGCGAACGGGUGAGUAACGCGUAGGUAACCUGCCUGGUAGCGGGGGAUAACUAUUGGAAACGAUAGCUAAUACCGCAUAAGAGUAGAUGUUGCAUGACAUUUGCUUAAAAGGUGCAAUUGCAUCACUACCAGAUGGACCUGCGUUGUAUUAGCUAGUUGGUGGGGUAACGGCUCACCAAGGCGACGAUACAUAGCCGACCUGAGAGGGUGAUCGGCCACACUGGGACUGAGACACGGCCCAGACUCCUACGGGGGGCAGCAGUAGGGAAUCUUCGGCAAUGGACGGAAGUCUGACCGAGCAACGCCGCGUGAGUGAAGAAGGUUUUCGGAUCGUAAAGCUCUGUUGUAAGAAAAGAACGAGUGUGAGAGUGGAAAGUUCACACUGUGACGGUAUCUUACCAGAAAGGGACGGCUAACUACGUGCCAGCAGCCGCGGUAAUACGUAGGUCCCGAGCGUUGUCCGGAUUUAUUGGGCGUAAAGCGAGCGCAGGCGGUUAGAUAAGUCUGAAGUUAAAGGCUGUGGCUUAACCAUAGUACGCUUUGGAAACUGUUUAACUUGAGUGCAAGAGGGGAGAGUGGAAUUCCAUGUGUAGCGGUGAAAUGCGUAGAUACAUGGAGGAACACCGGUGGCGAAAGCGGCUCUCUGGCUUGUAACUGACGCUGAG
Molecule: ribosomal RNA, 718 nt
Filed under: uncultured Bacilli bacterium
Lineage: Bacteria; Bacillati; Bacillota; Bacilli
Description: bacterial SSU rRNA
Rfam family: Bacterial small subunit ribosomal RNA
Source: RNAcentral